This 2583-nucleotide long non-coding RNA is filed under the name Lynx pardinus (Iberian lynx). Lineage: Eukaryota; Metazoa; Chordata; Mammalia; Carnivora; Felidae. The record is from RNAcentral.
UCUGGAGCCACCUCGGCCAAUCGCCGUCUCGCCUCGGUCCGGUCGGCCCAAUAGGAUGGCGGUGGGUGGAGCGACGUUCAAGGUGAGGUGCGCGGUGCGCUGGGGGCGGAGACGUUGUGCCGUCCCGGCCGGCUCCGGGGCGGGGGCAGCGGGUGGCGUCGAAAGAGAGCGCCGGCUCCCAGCCGAGCCUGGGACGCCUUCCGGCCCAGGCUCCCCCGCCCUUCCCUCGGGGCUCCCGGCUCUUCCCCCCCCCCCCCCCCCCCCGCCCCGUGUAGUCCCCCGGCGCCCCCACUCCGGCAUUUACCCCGAAGCGUGCAGCCACUUCUCUGAAGAGGCCGGAGUUGAAGUGGGGCUCUGUUAGCACCUCAGGGCAGAAAACCUAUGGAGCCAAAGGGGCUCGUCUGAGCCUCCGUUCCCCUGUUUCUGGGCGGGUCUCAGCCCACUCCAGGCCUGCGAGCCAACGAAUGCCCGAGAUGAGGGUCCUCCACUGAGAGCGGAGGCCGAGCUGUGCCCUUCUGAGCGGAGCGCCCUCCCCGCCCUCAGCCUAAUUUAGAUCCCACACCUGCUCGCUUUUCCUGCUUCCGGAACCCACGCUGGACCCCCACCUCUCAGCCAGCCUGCCCGGCACUAGCCAGACCCUUCCCCCGACCCAGUGCUACUCCCCUGGGUGUGCCCGUAUCCGCGGGCUCUCACAGUCCCCCAUUACCUUCUGGAGGAAAGGGCCUUUCCUAGCCGCACCGAUACCCAGACUAGCGCUUCAAUCUAGGUCUGGAGUUUUGGAGCGGGUGUCUGACAGCUCUCUCCCCCCUAGAAGAUGAGAUUAAACGAGAAAAGUCUUCAUAUACUUGGUUGGGACCGUCACUGACUGUUUAGUCUUCAGCAAACAUUUAUUGCGACAAUAAUCCUAAGUGUUUCAGACCAGGAGUCAGAUUAGAAUUUAAAUCUGUGGACUUUAAAAAUGAACUUGGACAAAUGAGCUCUCUGUUGCCUCAGUUUCCUCUGUUGUCACUGGGUAUAAUGAUAGUGCCUAUCUCAUUAGGUCGUUGUGAGGACUGACAAGUCAGUGCAUGUGAAACUCUUAGCUCAGUGUAAGUGCUUUAUAAAUCUUGCCUGUUAUUCUUACGUGCCCUGCAAGAAUUCUUACGGUGCGCUGUGCUGGGAUGCAAAGAUGAAAUAAGACAGUUUGUGCCUCCUCAAGAAGUUCACAGUUUGUCAGAUAAAACUGUAGGAAAAUAAUUGCCAAACACUGUGAUAAAAACAGAGAUGCACAGGGGAUGGGGUGGCCAGAAAGAUAGAUAUAAUGAUGUAAGAGAGUUGGUCAGUAAAGGCUUUUUGUAGUGGGAGAUUAGGAGGGCACUAGACAUCCUAAACAGCAAGCUUCAGGAAUAUGGCUCAGUUUGGGGACUGGCUGGAACACAGGAAUGAGCGGGGAAGCAGCAGGAGGUGAGCAGGUCAGACCAUAGAGGACUAAAGGUGUGUUGAGCAAUAUGGACUUAAACCCUAUAGGCCACGAAGAGUCCUCAAGGGGAAGGACUCAUUUGACCAGCUUUUAAUUUUUUUCAAUGUUUAUUUAUUUUUGAAAGGAGAGAGAGAGAGCACAAGCAGGGGAGAGACAGACAGCGAGGGAGACAGAGGAUCCAAAGUGGGCUCUGUGCUGACAGCAGAGAGCCUGGUGCGGGGCUCGAACCCACAAACUGCGAGAUCAUGACCUGAGCUGAAGCCAGGAAUCAGAUGCUUAACCAACUACGCCACCCAGGUGCCCGUGACCAGAUUUGAAUUUUAAGUAGAAUCACUCUGGCAUGUGGAUAAUUAUCAAUUGGGGUAUAUGGGGUAAAAGACAAAGAGGCCCUGAAAACAUCUUUAAGCUCUGAGGAGGAGAUGCGAGGAUAUAAGGAGAAUGACAAGUUCGACUUGGUUUAUGUUGUAGGUGCUGUGGGAUGAUCUGGUGGAGACUCUGAAGGUCAUUGAACUUGCAAAAGAAUGAGGCCAAGUCUUCAGGAAGCUCCGAAGUGUGAAUCAGGAAUUCUCCACACCAGUGAUGCUGAUCGGCUUCCUAGUCUCUAAAUAUGCCCAGUGUAUCUGCCCUGAGGAACUUACACAUGCCCAAGAAGCCUUCCUGUCUCCUCUCUGUUUACCUAAAUACUUCCUCACUUUCCCACCCGUGGCCAUCCUCACACCAACCCCUUUACAACUGGAUGGUUCUGUUCAUCCAGGCCCUGGCCUGGGCUGCUCUGUGGCGGUGACCUCUUUGGGAACAUGCCUGGUCUCCCCAGGUAGCAUCAAGCAGCCCGCAAAUACUGAGGACCGUGCUGGUCUGGGCCGUGGGUGAGGGCGUGGCGUUAGGGCAGCGAGCCAGAGAAACCCACAGACUUUAUCCUAGUAGAGUCUACACCCCAGCAAAGCCUGAUGUGGGUGAAACAAGACUGUGAAGGCAUCGGGCUGCUGAAGAAACAAAUGGCAUGGGCACUUGGGUGGCUCAGUUGGUUAAGCAUCUGACUCUGGCUCAGGUCAUGAUCUCACAAUUCAUGAGUUUGAGCCCCGCCUUGGGUUCUCCGCUCUCAGCAAGGAGCCCGCUUUAGAUCC